This 4824-nucleotide long non-coding RNA is filed under the name Capsicum annuum. RNAcentral's name for it is "long non-coding RNA (CANN_LNC019948)". The record is from RNAcentral. Lineage: Eukaryota; Viridiplantae; Streptophyta; Magnoliopsida; Solanales; Solanaceae.
CCUGCUCCUACUGCCAUCCUCGACUCUCAAAGCUCAACAAAUAAUCCAUCAAUUGAAGAAAGAUGGACUGCAGUAGCGUUCAACAAAAAGAAAGGUAAAAAAGGAUCCUUAUUCCAUCAACCUCACCAUAAGGAGGUAAGUAAUCUCCACAUGAAUACUCCAAUCAACAACAAGGAGGGCAUUAACGUCAAAAUCUUUAGCGCGGAUACAGGUAAGUACCUUGAUCAGCAAAUUUUUAAAUAUGUGGAAAAAUCAUGCCAUGCUUCUCCCUCAAAAUCUUUACACUUAGAUUCGAACUCAACUCUAUCUAACAAAAUUCAUCCUUAUCUGCCCUCAAAACUUAAUCAAAAGCUCCUUACACUUUCGACGCCAGUGCAACAGGGACAUAGGGAACUUUAUGUUAAUCAUGAAUCCGUCUGUGGUAAAACAGAAUUCCCUCUUGAACAACUCCUCAAGGGAAAUUCACCUAAUAAACCCCCCUCAACUCAACCAAUCAAUGAAUCUAAUAAUUUGGAAUUGUAGAGGCGCAAACGGUUCCGAAUUUAGGAGGAACUUUCGGUCGUUAGUUGAUUGGCAUAAACUCCCUCUUGUUGCUCUCCUGUAAACAAAAAUGCAGGACCACUUGGUCCUUCUUAAUGAGUUUCCUUUCAAUAGAGUGAAUGAAGUACCAGCGGUAGGUAAUGCUGGGGGACUGGCCGUUCUUUGGGAUGACUCAAUCCUUGAGCUAUCACAUGUGGCUACUACUAAUCAAGAAAUACAUGUCAUCGUGAAGGUAAGAGUCUUAAAUGAUACUUGGAUAUUUAGUAAUAUUUAUGCAAGUACUUAUAGAUGGAAAAAGAAAAUAUUAUGGCAGAUUAAAAACAGCUACUUAGGUAAAUGCUUAUAGGGGGAGACUUUAAUGAUCUUCUGACUAGCUCGGAAAAAAAAUGAGGUAAGGCUUUGAAUUAGUCUCGUGCUUCGAACUUCUUAGAUAUGAUAAAUCAUUGCGAAUUCAUAGAUUUGGGUUUUAAAGGCAAUAGAUUUACUUGGCUAAACAAGCGUUUUAAGAAAAGUAACGCCUUAAUUUUUGAAUCCCUUGACAGAUUUUUUGCUAAUAAUGACUGGAUAAUAAAAUUUUCGGAUGCGCACGUGAGACAUCUCCCCCGUACGCAUUCAGACCACUGUCCGUUAUUACUCCAUAUUUAUAAGGAUGACCCCACCCUCCGCAAAAAAAUGUUCUGUUUCGAAACUAUGUUAACGUCACAUCCUGAUUUUCCCUCCUUCAUCCAAAAUGCAUGGGCCAAUAGCUCAUCACUCUCCCAUGCAAUUGAAAAUUUCAAAGACAAUGCAAUACCCUGGGCCAAGGAGCAGUUCGGUAACAUUUUUAGAAGAAAAGAUAGAAUACUUAAAAGGCUCCAGGGUAUACAAAACUCCCCUAGCUAUUUCCGUAGUUCUUUUCUCCAAAAUUUAGAACAUCAGUUGAUAAAUGAGUUUAAUAUGAUUCUUAAGAUGGAGGAGGAUUAUUGGAAGCUGAAAUCGCCCAUUAACUGGUUAAAUAAUGAUGAUGCCAACACAAAAUUCUUUCACAUGUCCACUCUCAUUAGACACUGAAAAAACUGUAUUGUCAGCCUUACUCUUGAAGAUAACUCGGUUAUCCAUAAUCAAUGCAACUCGGUUAUCCAUGAUCAAUCUAUUAUUAUUAAUCAAACAAAAAUCUUCUUUCAAAAACUCUUCACCACUUCUCAUCACAAGUCCCUCCUCAUUCAAGUACCUGUAAGUAAAGUUUGUAUUAGCAGCAUGGAUAGAGAGGACCUGGCGAGGGAACCUACUAAAAAAGAACCAACCUACUGAAAAAGAAAUCAAAGAUGUUUUCUUUUUCUUUCAACCGUAUAAAACGCCUGAUCCAGAUGGCUUACGCCAUUUCUUCUUCCAACGUUAUUGGGACAUUGUGGGCAACUCAAUUAUUAAGUUUUGUAAAGAAUUUUUUAUUAAGGUAACUAUUCCGGAUGAAGUGAACAAAACUCGUUUGCCUCAUUCCUAAAUGCAAUAAUGCUUCUAAUCUGAAACAAUACAAACCCAUCAGCUUGUGCAAUUCUUCUUACAAAAUUAUAACCAAGCUUGUUGCCAAAAGACUGCGCCCAAUCAUCAACAAGAUAAUUGGGCCCUGCCAGUCUAGCUUCCUAAAGAACAGACAAGCCGCAGACAAUGCCAUUAGCGUCCAAGAAAUUAUCAGGCAUUUUAGUAAAAUGAAGGGUAAAAAAGGAUACUUCAUCAUGAAAAUUGACUUGAAAAGACUUUUGACAAAAUCGAAUGGUCUUUUGUCAAACAUACCCUAGUAUACUUUAAUUUUCCUCCAAAUAUGAUCAAUCUAAUCAUGUCGUGUAUCAGAUUCAGUUCAGUAGCAAUGCUAAUUAACGGUACACGAACUGGUUUUUUCAUUCCUUCUAGGGGUUUACGUCAAGGUGACCCUAUUUCCCCAUCCAUUUUUAUACUUUGCAUGGAAGUGCUCUCCCACAACAUAAACCAACAAGUAGAUCAGGGGCUUUGGACUCCGAUAAAAAUUACCAAGCGGGGCCCACCGCUAUCUCACCUCUUCUUUACGGAUGACCUCAUUCUUAUGACCGAAAGCAAUGCCCCCAGCUACGAAGCUAUAAAUACUACUCUCCAAAAUUUCUGCAACUGGUCCGGUCAAUCUAUUAACAAUCAAAAAUCAAAACUGGUUUUCUCAAAAAAUUGCUCGGCAUCCUCCGUUACAAGUAUAACCUCUUUAUUCAAUAUCAAAAGUUGCCAAAAUUUUGGAAAAUAUCUGGAGCUCCCUAUUUUUGACAAGAAACCCUUGAAUAGUGAUUUUAACUUUAUUAUCGAAAAUUUAAGGAAUAAGCUGGCGGGCUGAAAAACUAGGUUCCUCAAUCUUGCCGGAAGAACUACCCUGGCUAAGACUUGUCUAAAUAGUAUCCUUACUCAUGUUAUGACUUACAUCAAGCUUCCAAAAAAAAUUACUAAAAAAAUCGAUCAAAUCCAACGAAAUUUCAUUUAGGGCACCACAAACAAAAAGAAAAAGUUGCGCUUAUUAAAUUGGCAAACCAUUACUCUCCCUAAAGACUUGGGUAGUUUGGGAUUGCAAAGAAGCUGUCAUAAAAAUAUGGCUUUGUUAUGCAAACUAGCCUGGAAAACCUUUAAUGGCCAGCCCAAUCUCUGGACAAAUCUUGUCUUAAGUAAAUAUGGUCGAGAGAUCAGCAUUAAUCACACUGGUGGGACCAUAAAAAUCCCUAAGCUUAGUAGUUGAAGCCUGGAAAAUUUGAAAAAGUUGUCUCUCUUGGGACAUUGGCAACGGAAACAAGGUAAGCUUAUGGCACGAUAACUGGAUCCCAAAUUGUCAACCUCUGUCGCGCAUAAUUUAUACCCCCUUAUCCUUAAAGGAUGACAAGUUGACGGUUAGUAAUAUCAUUAAUAAUGGGGAAUGGGACCUUAAUAAGAUAGGUUAUGUCCUUCCUUUUGGAAAUAAAAUAUUUGCUCGCUAGAACUAUCAUACCCUCAGGCAGUAGUACCCAAGAUAAAUUGGCCUGGGCUCCAUCACACAAUGGUAUCUUUACCACGCGUUCUGCCUGUGACCAAAUUGCCUCAUACAAUAUCCACAUAAUUGAUGAGCAAAAGAAUUUCUCUUGGAUUUGGGCUUUGAACUGCCCGAACAAAAUCAAGAUUUUUUAUCUGGCUUUGCUGCCACUCUAGGCUCCCAACCAAAACAUACUUAAAAUAAAUUAGUCUAGAUGUUGACCCCCUGUGUAGGAUCUGUAGCAUCCCGGAAAUGUCAAAACAUAUCUUCUUGGAGUGUUGCCAUGUUAAGCAACUUUGGGAGAAUCUGAAUGUGGGUACCACUAUUGCAAACUUAGCCUCCGACCAUGAGGAUAACUGGUUAGACGGGUUAAAACUUCUAAAAAUUCCUUUCAAAAAUAACUCUAUAACCUGGAAACAGGCUUUUCCCUUCUACUUAUGGGUAAUUUGGCUCAAUCGUAAUCAUAAUCUUCUUCACGAAACUAUUUCUAGCAUACAUGUCAACACUCCCUACAAAAGAGCUAUGGAAUUUGUCUACUUAACUGACAAGUCAAUGAAGAUAAUGAAAUCGAAUGCUGCUAUAGAGCCAAGCAACAAUGGAAACCUCCUCAUUUGGGUUUUAAGCUGAAUGUUGAUGGAUCAUUCAAUACUAAAUCCAAAAAGGGAGGCGUUGGUGGUCUGAUCCGAAACUUGGGAUUGGUUGAUAGGUUUCAGUGCUUCUAUUAACGUUAACUCUGCCUCUGAAGCAGAAGCUUCAGCACUGCUCAUGGGCGUACGAGUGGCUGCAAAAAAUAGCUAUACUCAGCUCUUAGUUUCAAUUGAUUCGUUACAAUUCUGUAAAGAAAUUAAUGCUAGUUGCUCUAAUGAAAACAAUCUGAUUUGCCUUUGUAGGGAUCCACUACAGAAAAAGAGGAACCUGCAGAUUAUCCACGAAGAUAGAAGUGCAAAUGUUGUUGCUGACAUACUAGCGAAGGAGGGCCAUAAGUUGGUGCAGGGAGGUUUUUGUGAAGAAUGGAUAGUUCCACCCAUGUUUGUUCGACAUCAGUUGGAAGCAGACAACGCGGGAACUUCUUCUAUGGGGCACUGUAUGCCACUAUCUCCAGAUGGUUGUAAUUGUAUUAGCAGACAAAUAUGUAUGUGUAGUGUUAGGGUGGACCCUUCCCCAGUUAGAUCUUUGCCUUUGAAAUGUACUGAAGCUUUUAACUUUAGCUAGUAAUGAAUAAAUCUCCCUUUAUCACCAAAAAAAAAAAAAGAACACAAGGUAUUUAUUUUUUUGUCAAUUUUAAUAUUUAG